CAAUCAUUUGGCAGAUAACAAGCGAUGAACUAUUGUAUCAAUGAUUUGUGUAUUGGAAUGGCAAUAAUCUUUAUCCUAAAUGUGUUUUAGAAUUUUGAAAAAAAACUGAAAACUACACUAUAUGAAAAACUGCAGACUAAUUAACAGUGAUAAUGCACCGAGGCUUAACGUAUUUUCAAGAUUUGGUUAAUUAGAUUAUGGAAAAACUGCAGACACAUUAUAAGCUCUCAAUUACAUGUAACUUACGACGAGACUAUUUUCAAGAUUCGGUAAACCACAUUGAAUGACGAAUAAAUCAGAAUAUAUAAAACAAGAUCAGUGCUGUUUAUGUGCUUAUUUAGAGAUUUUGGGAUUCUACGUGUAAAAUUGAUUUAGUUGAUCGGAAAUACAGGAUUCGACGGAACAGAAUACUUUAUGAAGUUCAUACUACCACUUAGUUAAGUAUGUGUAUGAAUUAAUUGUGUUGUGUAUGACUUUCAAGCACUUUUUAAGUACACCGAGAAGCAUUUUUUUACAUUAUACCAGAAUUCAUCAUUUUGCUUUCUAUCUGUUAUCUUUUAAACAGUGUUGAAGUUUGGAACAAUCUAAAAGAAAGAAAAAAAUGAGGAUACCUAACUAUUAAAGCCAUUACGAAUUGAAUUAUUCUUAUUAGCUCAAUGUAUUUGUUAAAAUAACAUUGACAAAUGAUAACAAGGAACAGCUACUUCGAAAGGGCUUCAAUACAAAAGUGAUUUCGUUUAAGGAAUAUGUUAAUCGUAGUUCAAUUUAGUGGGCUACUGCUUUGCAAAAUCAAAGUCUGUAUGUGAACAGAUAUAAAGAAGGAAGUCAAUGUUUGAACAAUAUAAAGUGUGAAAGUUGAAUUUGCCGUUAGCAAGUAUUGAAAUCUGAUGUCGUUAUUUUUGCUGCAGCCCAUGUGACUUUGACAACAAAUGUCAAUAUUCCAAUAUAUUAACUUAUGUAACAAAUAUCCCCUUGCUGUUACUUUUAAUUACAGUUCACCUGCCGUGGAAUAUUAAAAAAAAAGUAGAAAUGAAAAUAUGAGUGCAAGAUAUUGAAUGGAGAUAUUUAUGGAAGUUUUAAUCAUAUUUGCAGUGGUCAUGGUCUAUUUAUGUACAGAAUGUCAUGGACUCAUGUGCUAUAAAUGUGAAAACGAACGAAACAAUUUUCUGUGCGUAGGAGAAUAUAAUCUGAAGCAAUGUGAUUCAGGAUUCGAUACUUGCCAGACAACAGUGUCAUACUCAGAGGUAAGCGAACAGCUUUCAAUAAUUAAGACAUGUACGAAAAAUUCAUCGUGUCACCUGCAAAUAAAAGAACAUUCGGAAUCCGUCCCGUGUGAUCAAACCGGAAGAAGUUGGAUAUGCAC
Molecule: long non-coding RNA, 1363 nt
Organism: Mytilus trossulus (common blue mussel)
Lineage: Eukaryota; Metazoa; Mollusca; Bivalvia; Mytilida; Mytilidae
Exons: 3
Source: RefSeq, a predicted model, not a curated record